AUGUUCGUGCUUCAGGGGCUGCCACGUGCUGUCCUCGCCGCCAUCGCCAGUCGAUGCCACUUCAGCGCCACGAGCAUGGGACUGAGGGACGAAGGGAAGAGAAGGGAAGGAAGCGAGCUAAUGACGUACCUAUGUUUGGGUGACGCGAAACUAAACCGGUGGGGUGGGGGAGGGACGAAAAAAACCAGUGAAAUAAAACGGGUGGGAGGUGGGAGAAAGUACCAAAGAAGUACCAAAAAAGACCGGGUGAGCAUAUGCGUCGCAGACUCGCGGAUCGUGACCCAGCCCAACACACGGAGCCCAGCCUUCUGUCUAGCCCAGCCCAAGUUGGCUUUCAGGAUUAAUCUAGGUAUUUUCCUCCCUGUCCCCAACCUCCCCCCAUUCCUCUCGAGUCCUCCCACGCCGGCCGCCGCCCAUCGUCAGACAUUGCGACUCCUUUGCGCGGCCGCGACCUACAUGCCGGCGAGCCUCCCGUCACCACUCCCCUGCGACCCUCCACCCCGGCGCGCCGCCCCUCAUCACCACUCCCCUGCGACCCUGGAUCCUGGUGCGCCGCCCCUUGUCACUGCUCCACUGCGACCAACGGCGAAUCCAAAUUCAACACUGCUGACCUCCGAGUCCCGCGCCCCAUGCUCCAACCUUGGACUUCUUCCCAGGGACAUGAAUGGUAGCGUUCCAGUCAGUACUACAAAUUCAUCUGGACCAACCAUUGGUGUUAGCUCUUUGGUGACUAAUGACAACUCAUCACUUUCAGGAGGUGCCCAGUUUCAGCAAAUCUACCUGGCUUACAGUGCACAUGCUGCAGCCAGGAUUGCUGUCUUUUCCCUUGUGAAAUAA
RNAcentral lists this ribosomal RNA (837 nucleotides) under Triticum aestivum (bread wheat). RNAcentral's name for it is "partial small subunit ribosomal RNA". Lineage: Eukaryota; Viridiplantae; Streptophyta; Magnoliopsida; Poales; Poaceae. The record is from RNAcentral.